This 463-nucleotide ribosomal RNA is filed under the name Neisseria sp. oral taxon 014. RNAcentral's name for it is "bacterial SSU rRNA". It matches the Rfam family "Bacterial small subunit ribosomal RNA", at positions 30 to 488 of the family's 1533-position model. Lineage: Bacteria; Pseudomonadati; Pseudomonadota; Betaproteobacteria; Neisseriales; Neisseriaceae. The record is from RNAcentral.
UUGAACGCUGGCGGCAUGCUUUACACAUGCAAGUCCGGACGGCAGCGGGGUAGUGCUUGCACUACUGCCGGCGAGUGGCGAACGGGUGAGUAACAUAUCGGAACGUACCGAGCAGUGGGGGAUAACUAAUCGAAGAUUAGCUAAUACCGCAUAUAUCUGAGGAGAAAGCAGGGGACCUUUGGCCUUGCGCUGUUUGAGCGGCCGAUAUCUGAUUAGCUGGUUGGUGGGGUAAAGGCCUACCAAGGCGACGAUCGUAGCGGGUCUGAGAGGAUGACCGCCACACUGGGACUGAGACACGGCCCAGACUCCUACGGGAGGCAGCAGUGGGGAAUUUUGGACAAUGGGGGCAACCCUGAUCCAGCCAUGCCGCGUGUCUGAGAAGGCCUUCCGGGUUGUAAAGGACUUUUGUCCGGGAAGAAAAGCGCGAUGAAUACCAUGCGUGCUGACGGUACCCGGAAGAAUA